Manis pentadactyla (Chinese pangolin) is the source of this 1454-nucleotide long non-coding RNA. RefSeq lists it as uncharacterized. Lineage: Eukaryota; Metazoa; Chordata; Mammalia; Pholidota; Manidae. The transcript has 3 exons. The record is from RefSeq and is a predicted model, not a curated record.
CCGGCAGUGCUUCAGGGCCUCGGACCAGCUCAGCUCCUCCUCCACUCUCAAGAAGGACCUGUCGUUGCUCAGCAGCUGCAAGGCUGGGGCAGGAGAGGUUGUCACCACGUAGCUGCCCCCUCCCCCUUCCCCAAAGACCUUUCAGUCACAGCACAGGCAGACUCCCCAGCUUUUUCUCUCCCAACCUUCCCCACUGGCCCUCCAGUUGCACAAAGCUCUGCCCCUGGGCCUUUGCACAAGCUGUUCUCUUGUCCUGAAAGGACUAACCACCCCUGCCUGCUCCCUGAAGCCCCUAUUUUCCCAUUCCCUCAUCACCCCCUUCCCUUUACCCAGCUAACUCCCCACUCCUCUGUCCCAUCCUGGGUAGGCCCCCUUCCCACCUGCUGCCACACACCUGUGUUAGUGCUUAGUAACCAUAGACCACAUACUGAACACUCCUGAUGAGCCAUUAGCUCAUGGAGUCCUCCCAACAGCUCCUGAAGAUCGAUAUCACUAUGCCUGUCUUCCAAAGGAAGGAACCAAGUCAGAGAGUCAGAUGACUUGUCCAAGGCAGUGGAAAGGCAUAGAGACAGGACCCAAGGACCGUGACUGGGUGUUCCAGGUCCAGACCUUUAACCAUAGCACAGCACUGCCACAGGCUUGGAACCGGGGCUGUGCAUCAGAAUCCCCUGGGAGCUUUCAAAGACACUGAGUCGCAACUACUCCACAGCAAGGAUCUGAAUUUGCUGGGACCAGCAUGAAAAUUCUUUAAACCCCCUCAGGGAAAGGACCAUUUAGCUUAUCUGUCUCCACCAGCAGGUCCAGGCAACUCAGGAGCAAAGAACAAGCCUUGUUUAUUCAUCAGUGUACUCCCAGGGCCCAGCACAUCAGAAGGGCUCAGUGUGAUGAGAAUGAAUGAAUGAAAGAGCUAAUGAACAAAUCAAAUUUCUCCCCGGAACCACCCCCAAGAUCUCAGUGUUUGCUUGCUUCCUUCCUGACUCCAGGCUCUUGGCGGGGGGCGGUGGUGGGGUGUCCCAGCAAACAGAGGCCAGUCAUGGCUACUGUGCUCGCCCAGGGCCUGCCUGUGCAUGGGGCAGAGAGGAGCGGGACCUCUUGGGGACUCUAGGCUGUAAGGAACUGGCCUCAAGCCGGAUGUCCUAGGAGAGCAAAGCAAGCCUGAAGAACCCGGCGUACAGAGGGGCAAGAGCUUGCACAGCGCGGGGAGGACAGCGGACAGGACCCAGGAGGACUUGCCAGGGGGAUCGAAGCUGCUCACACCCACCAGAGUCCAAGAUGCUGCCUGUCACCGAGAAAAGUUGGAGGAUCCCUGUACCAGAGAAAGGGAAUCAGAAAAAAAUUACUUUCUUAUGAGCCGGGCUGUGAGGUGCUAGAGAUGCGGCUGGGGCCGGAAUAAAGCCGGAAAGAAUGCUGUCCCCCUGCAAGUUACAGGGAGCAGACAGAAGGGUAAACAGCCC